AUACAAGUUCUGAAAAGGACAUUCAUCAAUAAAUCCAGAAAGCUAUAUACAUUUUCCUUUGAGUGAUCAACCUAACAAUUCUGCAUUUGGAACAAAGUGUUUGCAUCUUCAUCAGAAAGCCUGACCAGCAGAGAUUUGUCAGAACUCUUAACUCCCAUGGAUUCAUCUGAUAACUGCUUGAGAUACUCCAUUAAGAGGAAAUAACGUGUAUGGUGGCUAGAAUAUAUAAGCACUAUUAAGGAAGAUAAACAUGGCAUUGUGUAUUUGGAUGGGUUUUCUACAUUUAGGAGGUCAGAUUAUGUUCUGAGAAGAAAAACAUUAGAAGCAACAUUUCAGCAAGAGUACACAGUGGACUACUGCUGAGAGUGUGGGAGCUUUGAGCAGCUGUGAGUGGGG
This 396-nucleotide long non-coding RNA is filed under the name Mus spicilegus (steppe mouse). RNAcentral describes it as "lncRNA (ENSMSIG00000020734.1)". Lineage: Eukaryota; Metazoa; Chordata; Mammalia; Rodentia; Muridae. The record is from RNAcentral.